RNAcentral lists this long non-coding RNA (434 nucleotides) under Gossypium raimondii (Peruvian cotton). Its description in RNAcentral is "long non-coding RNA (GRAI_LNC008919)". Lineage: Eukaryota; Viridiplantae; Streptophyta; Magnoliopsida; Malvales; Malvaceae. The record is from RNAcentral.
GGGGAGUAAAAUUUUGGAGGGAAAAUAUUUAAAAAAAAAUUGGAGGGGGGAGGGUUUGGGGUAGAUGGGAGGUGGGAUGGGAAGAGAAUAAAAGUUUUAGGGGAAAAGUGGGAGGGAGUAAAAAUUUUGGAGGAAAAUAAAAAGUUUUGAGGGUUUUUGAGAGAAAUUUUGAAAAAAAAUGAAUGGAAGAGUAAAAUUUUGGUGGAAAAUGGAUUUUGGGUAGAUUGGGGGGUUGGGAGGGGAGGGGAGUAAAAGUUUUGGGGGAAAAGUGGGAAGAAGUAAAAGUUUUGAGGGAAAAGUAAAAAAGUUUGGGAGUUUAGGGUAAAACUGUAAAAUAUUAUAGUUUGAUAUUCGAAUUAUUCGAGUUAUUCGAAUUCGAAAACUCAACUCGAUUCGAACUCGAAAUUCGAAAAAAAAUUCGAGUUGAUUCGAAU